UCGGAGUUUAAGAAGCAUUUGGACUGUGCUGUUGUCAUAUGGUCUGAAUUCUGAUUUUUGGGUAGACCUGUGUGGACCCAGGAGUUGGACUCGAUGUGGGUCCCUUCCAACUCGGGAUAUUCUAUGAUUCUAGUUCACUAGAAGAAUUAAUACAAUAUAGGAUUUCUUUUUCCUCCAAUACUAGGAAUCAUGUAACAUCCAAGUGAGAGGUUCGAGGACCACACAUCUGGACAUUUGCUCAGCAGCAUACUGCCUGCUAAGGGGAAACAAUUUUUAUUUUGUACAUGGUGAGAGAACUCUGAAGUUUCCAGCUAAUGGCUGCUUGAAGGUACCAAGUGAAGAUGAACUACUUAACUUCAAGAUUAGUCUAAACCUAAGAAGAAUCCUGCUCUGAAACGCUGUCAUGAUAAAAGAUCAGCAGCCCAAAACACAUGAAGAUGGACCUUCCAGAGGGCCAGCAAGGAUACUUUUGCAAAUAACUUAUGAAAGCCUCUGAUAUCAUCCUGGUGAACUCAGUAACACAUCAUCAUUGUCUUAAAAAUGGAAACAUUACUUUGUGUUUAGGUGAUUAACAGUGACAUCAGGAAAACAGGCUUCCAUGGGCAAAGACUGGAAAACAGAAUUUCCUUCUGUCUCAAGUUAAUGCAAGACAAUUAGUGUUGAUUAAAUUACACCAGAGCUGGUAGUUGUGGAUUUGAUCAAGUGCAGAUAUCUGAACAAAAAAUAUUUGUGAAAACUGAAACCAAUAUCGUCCUUAAAUUGAGGACCAUGUGUAAAGGGGAAAAAAAUACGAGGCCCAAAUAUUUUGGCAAGUCCUUAUUUUUGAAAAAAUAGCUAACAAACACCAUGGGGAUAAAUGUUUUUGUUAAUGUUGUGUUGAAGAUAAUUAGUUUUCCUAAAGACACAAGGGAGGAGAUCGGGUAAUGCAUGUUUUUAAUGAUGAUGAAUGGACUUUCCAUAGAUUACUUUCUUAAAACCUUUAUCUGUU
Molecule: long non-coding RNA, 988 nt
Filed under: Anser brachyrhynchus (Pink-footed goose)
Lineage: Eukaryota; Metazoa; Chordata; Aves; Anseriformes; Anatidae
Description: lncRNA (ENSABRG00000014211.1)
Source: RNAcentral